Molecule: microRNA, 21 nt
Filed under: Eptesicus fuscus (big brown bat)
Lineage: Eukaryota; Metazoa; Chordata; Mammalia; Chiroptera; Vespertilionidae
Description: efu-miR-9240
Source: miRBase by way of RNAcentral
CAAGCUGUGAACCUUGGCAAG